UGAGGAACAUGACUUUCGGCGGGGGAUAGCCGGCCCAACGGCCGGGUAAUACCGCGUACGACCUUUCGGGGACAUCCCCGGAUGGUGAAAGCAGCAAUGCGCCGAUGGAGUGCCUCGCGGCCUAUCAGCUAGUUGGUGAGGUAACGGCUCACCAAGGCAACGACGGGUAGCUGGUCUGAGAGGAUGGCCAGCCGCAUUGGGACUGGGACACGGCCCAGACUCCGUACGGGAGCAGCAGG
Molecule: ribosomal RNA, 239 nt
Filed under: uncultured bacterium
Lineage: Bacteria
Description: partial 16S ribosomal RNA
Rfam family: Bacterial small subunit ribosomal RNA
Source: RNAcentral